UUAACUCAAAUUUGUAUGGAGUUGGAACGUUUGUCUACGUUUGCCGCUAGGGGCGCUGUUCCAACUGCAUACAAAUUUAAGUUA
This 84-nucleotide microRNA precursor is filed under the name Bombyx mori (domestic silkworm). RNAcentral's name for it is "mir-2807 microRNA precursor family". It matches the Rfam family "mir-2807 microRNA precursor family". Lineage: Eukaryota; Metazoa; Arthropoda; Insecta; Lepidoptera; Bombycidae. The record is from Rfam by way of RNAcentral.